AAGAUUAACAAUAUAGACUUCUAAUCUAUUAAUAAUGAUUCAUUCAUUUAAUCUUU
Molecule: transfer RNA, 56 nt
Filed under: Ixodes auritulus
Lineage: Eukaryota; Metazoa; Arthropoda; Arachnida; Ixodida; Ixodidae
Description: tRNA-Ser
Source: RNAcentral